AACGCAGGAUCAUACUUCUCCUGAGAGAGCUGUGCUGUGAGGCUAACCCCUGAAGAUGCUGAUGCUUCUGCUGCUUCUGGGGCCCACAGGCUCUGGGCUUGGUGCUCUCGUCUCUCAACAUCCAAGCAGGGCUCUUUGUAAGAAUGGAACCUCCAUGAAGAUCGAGUGCCAUGCAACGGGCUUUCAGGCCCAAACUGUGUUUUGGUAUCGUCAGUUGCCAAAACAGGGCCUCACACUGAUUGUAACCUCUAAUUGGGGCUCCACGCCCACAUACGAACAAGAUUUUGGGGAGAAAAAAUUUCUCAUCAACCAUUCCAGCCUAACUUUUUCAACUCUGACCGUGGAGAGUGCACGUCCUGCAGACAGCAGCCUCUACUUCUGUGGUGCUAGUGACACAGCGCUGGGCAGAGAUCAGAGACCCAAACAAGAACCUUUGCAACAGCCCCCUCUGCCCCACCCCACCACAUCCGUGCAGCCCUGUGGAAGGAGGCGUGGAGAGAAUAAAACCACAGCUUCUCUCAUUGAGACAUCUACUGUUCAGCACACUUUUGUCUCCAUCCUAGAACCUCAAGAUAAAGAGAAUCGUAAGGCAACCAAGCAGAGAAAUUCAAUCCUGAAAGAAUUUGAUGAUGUGCUAUAUAGUGUUUUCACUGAUGAAUGA
Molecule: non-coding RNA, 661 nt
Organism: Diceros bicornis minor
Lineage: Eukaryota; Metazoa; Chordata; Mammalia; Perissodactyla; Rhinocerotidae
Source: the annotation of a RefSeq genome assembly